RNAcentral lists this non-coding RNA (28 nucleotides) under Mus musculus (house mouse). The record is from RNAcentral. Lineage: Eukaryota; Metazoa; Chordata; Mammalia; Rodentia; Muridae.
GGCAAGAGGAAUUGUAGUGGUGAGCUCA